AUAUUCUGGUUUCUCUUCAGAUCGUAUAAAUCUUUCACCUUUUUCUAAAAAUUUCUGUGGCGAGGAACAUUCAAGGCCUAAUAUAAUUGUCUGCAUUGAGGCAGCAUUCAGU
Molecule: small nuclear RNA, 112 nt
Organism: Sceloporus undulatus (fence lizard)
Lineage: Eukaryota; Metazoa; Chordata; Lepidosauria; Squamata; Phrynosomatidae
Product: U5 spliceosomal RNA
Exons: 1
Source: RefSeq, a predicted model, not a curated record